This 96-nucleotide ribosomal RNA is filed under the name Acinetobacter pittii. The record is from RNAcentral. Lineage: Bacteria; Pseudomonadati; Pseudomonadota; Gammaproteobacteria; Moraxellales; Moraxellaceae.
GCUGGCGACCAUAGCAAGAGUGAACCACCUGAUCCCUUCCCGAACUCAGAAGUGAAACCUCUUAGCGCUGAUGGUAGUGUGGGGUUACCCAUGUGA